UACGAAGGGGGCUAGCGUUGCUCGGAAUCACUGGGCGUAAAGGGUGCGUAGGCGGGUCUUUAAGUCAGGGGUGAAAUCCUGGAGCUCAACUCCAGAACUGCCUUUGAUACUGAAGAUCUUGAGUCCGGGAGAGGUGAGUGGAACUGCGAGUGUAGAGGUGAAAUUCGUAGAUAUUCGCAAGAACACCAGUGGCGAAGGCGGCUCACUGGCCCGGUACUGACGCUGAAGCACGAAAGCGUGGGGAGCAAACAGG
RNAcentral lists this ribosomal RNA (253 nucleotides) under uncultured bacterium. RNAcentral describes it as "partial 16S ribosomal RNA". It matches the Rfam family "Bacterial small subunit ribosomal RNA", at positions 524 to 776 of the family's 1533-position model. The record is from RNAcentral.